CACACACACACACACACACACACACAGGUGCAGACACAUUCACCCGACACACACACACACACACACACACAGGUGCAGACACAUUCACCCGACGCACACACGCACACACACACACUAAACACGAUAGGCAAAAUAUGACAUUCAGUUAACCCACAAGAGUCAAUGUAGCUCAAAAGACCUGUUGUGUACAUGUCCGUAAAGAAUGUCAAUGUCAUUUCUCUCAGUCUGAUCUGAGUAUGUUUGACUGGACGGUGAAUUUAAAUAAGAAUGGCUGCUGCUUACAGUGAAGAAAAUGACUGGUCCUAAGAUGAGUGUAAUGUAGUCAUAUCACUCUGAAAUUACCUUAUCAUCAAAGCAACUGAGCGAGAGAGAGAGAGACAGACGGACAUAAGAGAGUCUUAAAUAUUGUUUUGGAACCUAAUAUCACCGUUUUUGAUGAAAAAAGAGAGACAGACAAACAGCAGUGGAAAGAAAGGGGGAGGAAGAUGGGCAAGUUUAUGGUUUUAAGCGGCACAGUGGUUCAGAGUGAACUAGGGGGGUCGUCAUAGAGAGAGAGAUAGGAAUCUUGAAAUGGCAGUUUACCUUAUGACUCAUCUUUUGAAUAAUACUCUGACACACUGUGAUCCCCAGUUCAGUCACACAGUCAGAGGGUCCAGAGUCACAUCUAUCUCAUUCUCUCAUCCUAUCUGAGACACGGUAAGUCAGACUCUACACUUCCCUACUGAAACACGUUUUGUUCAGGUCUGUCGUUAGAGUCCUGGGCUUGCUUGAUGUAUCUAUAAUGGUAUACAGUCAGACUCUACACUUCCCUACUGAAACACGGUUUGUUCAGGUCUGUCGUUAGAGUCCUGGUCUUGCUUGAUGUAUCUAUAAUGGUAUACAGUCAGACUCUACACUUCCCUACUGAAACACGGUUUGUUCAGGUCUGUCGUUAGAGUCCUGGGCUUGCUUGAUGUAUCUAUAAUGGUAUACAGUCAGACUCUACACUUCCCUACUGAAACACGGUUUGUUCAGGUCUGUCGUUAGAGUCCUGGGCUUGCUUGAUGUAUCUAUAAUGGUAUACAGUUGGACGUGUUUAUGUCAUCGCUUCGUUUUUCACUGUCAGCAUGUAGGUGUUUUGUCUGGAGUCUGUAUCAUGUUUUCUACUUUAGGUGGUCUCCCGUUUCUCAUGUCCUUGAAACUGUCUCUUACAGCUACUGUUUGGGCCUACGAUAAUGUCCUGCCAUUGCAAUACUUUAUGUCUUGAUAAGAUAUUGUUGGAUGAUAUCUUUAUGACUGAAG
Long non-coding RNA from Oncorhynchus tshawytscha (Chinook salmon), 1281 nucleotides. NCBI's taxonomy places the organism in Eukaryota, Metazoa, Chordata, Actinopteri, Salmoniformes, Salmonidae. The record is from Ensembl.